UGAUGGAGCUUGCACUGCUGUGCAGUGAAAAAAUAGAAGUGAAAUAGUCUAUUUCUGACUUUCAAAUCAGAAACUGGACAAAGGGGGUUGGGACCGAAGAAUUUCCCUGUGAAGUUCUUUCCUCCAGGUUGGGAUGCUUUUGUUGUACCUGCGCCUGCACGUGUUAUCUCUUCGUCGUAGCUGCUGCUGUAUUUGUGUCUCUGUGUGUACAUGUGGUUGCACGUGUUGUCUCUUCGUCGUAGCUGCUGCUGUAUUUGUGUCUCUGUGCUGCUGACCCGUACAUGCUGCUGCGCUGCUUUGUUGUUGACACGUGCACCUUUUUGUGCUGAGUACACCACCUUUUGUGCUGACGAGGGCACCAAUUUCUGAUAUCAUGUUUUCCUUUUGCCAUGUCGUUGUCAGUUGUCAGACGUUCGUUGUCAGAGUCAGUUGUCCGACGGUCGUCGUCUGUUGUCAGUCGUUCGUUGUCAGAGUCAGACGUUUGUUGACAGUCGUCAGUCAUUCGUUGUCAGUGUUAGUUCUCCAUUAUGAGUUCUUCCGUCGCCGCUUGAAGUAAACUAUGAAAAGCUCUCUCUCUAGCUCUAGAGAAAAACCACUGACUAGUUCGUUUUGAGGUGUGGCGUGGCGAGGAUAGAAGAGGCAGUUCGUUCUCAACCUUCCGAGACGACAUUUGGCGCCCAACUAAUCGAACCCACGACCCUGAAGCUCGUCGCUCUCCGGCCGGUGUUUUUCGUUUUCCUCUUCGCGUUCUCGCCAUGGCUCCGCUUUGCUGCGUCUGUUCAACCCUUUCCUAGAUCCUCGGAGCUCCUACUCAGUUUCUGUAGCGCCAUCGGUUUUCGGACAGCCGGCCAGUGUGCGUCCUGCUGCCCCAGUCUUCUUCUCGGCCGGUGCGUGCUGUUGGUCUCGCCGCUCCUGGAAGCGUCGCUGGGUCCGUCGGCAUAACCUGUUUUCUCAUGCAUUUGUACUUUUGUUUUGUCAUGACUGGUGGAUGGGUGGCGUACUAGGUUGGUGCUGUUCUAAGAAUAAAAGAUCCAAAGGGACAAACACAGGUCGAACAGCUCGCCAGCCGGGGUCCUCUGCAAAAUCUGUUGCUUGCAGGUUCCGUUGAUUGGUGCACAGUUUUGCGGGGCUCCCGACUGGUGUUAACCCUCCUGGCCUACUCGUCAUGCGUUCAACAGUUGUGGCCCACCUCUUUUGUGUUUUAUUGUCGCCUGUUUAUGUUGCUUCAUAUUUCAUUUCCCCUGUCUUUCUGUCUUCUUCUCCGGUCUGUCUCCUUCCGUUUUUUAUACACUUCACUUUUGCUUCCAUCCACAGGAGUGGAUGUCUUUUUUUGGUAGGGGAUAGUGUUGUACCUGCGCCUGCACGUGUUAUCUCUUCGUCGUAGCUGCUGCUGUAUUUGUGUCUCUGUGUGUACAUGUGGUUGCACGUGUUGUCUCUUCGUCGUAGCUGCUGCUGUAUUUGUGUCUCUGUGCUGCUGACCCGUACAUGCUGCUGCGCUGCUUUGUUGUUGACACGUGCACCUUUUUGUGCUGAGUACACCACCUUUUGUGCUGACGAGGGCACCAAUUUCUGAUAUCAUGUUUUCCUUUUGCCAUGUCGUUGUCAGUUGUCAGACGUUCGUUGUCAGAGUCAGUUGUCCGACGGUCGUCGUCUGUUGUCAGUCGUUCGUUGUCAGAGUCAGACGUUUGUUGACAGUCGUCAGUCAUUCGUUGUCAGUGUUAGUUCUCCAUUAUGAGUUCUUCCGUCGCCGCUUGAAGUAAACUAUGAAAAGCUCUCUCUCUAGCUCUAGAGAAAAACCACUGACUAGUUCGUUUUGAGGUGUGGCGUGGCGAGGAUAGAAGAGGCAGUUCGUUCUCAACCUUCCGAGACGACACUUUCAUGAACGUACAUGGACAAGGCCCACGGGCUCACUACCUGGUUACCAUCAAGCCUAUGAUUCGCCGUAGUCCAUGUACGUUCCUGCAGGACUCCUCUGGAUCUAUGGCAGUAGGGGAUCGUGCUGCCCGGCAGUUUGUCUCUUCCACAGAAAAGGGCAUUGAUUUUAAUCAUGAGCUUACCGCAGAGCACAACGAAAGCAUUGUAGCAUGAAACUAAUUUGUCUGAAUACAAAUCUGCACAAUGGCACAGACGGUUAAUGGAGGUAAAGCAUGGCAUCACCAGCAUUGUGUUGUACCUGCGCCUGCACGUGUUAUCUCUUCGUCGUAGCUGCUGCUGUAUUUGUGUCUCUGUGUGUACAUGUGGUUGCACGUGUUGUCUCUUCGUCGUAGCUGCUGCUGUAUUUGUGUCUGUGCUGCUGACCCGUACAUGCUGCUGCGCUGCUUUGUUGUUGACACGUGCACCUUUUUGUGCUGAGUACACCACCUUUUGUGCUGACGAGGGCACCAAUUUCUGAUAUCAUGUUUUCCUUUUGCCAUGUCGUUGUCAGUUGUCAGACGUUCGUUGUCAGAGUCAGUUGUCCGACGGUCGUCGUCUGUUGUCAGUCGUUCGUUGUCAGAGUCAGACGUUUGUUGACAGUCGUCAGUCAUUCGUUGUCAGUGUUAGUUCUCCAUUAUGAGUUCUUCCGUCGCCGCUUGAAGUAAACUAUGAAAAGCUCUCUCUCUAGCUCUAGAGAAAAACCA
Sycon ciliatum is the source of this 2618-nucleotide long non-coding RNA. RefSeq lists it as uncharacterized. NCBI's taxonomy places the organism in Eukaryota, Metazoa, Porifera, Calcarea, Leucosolenida, Sycettidae. The record is from RefSeq and is a predicted model, not a curated record. The transcript has 2 exons.